This 418-nucleotide ribosomal RNA is filed under the name uncultured bacterium. Its description in RNAcentral is "bacterial SSU rRNA". It matches the Rfam family "Bacterial small subunit ribosomal RNA", at positions 358 to 772 of the family's 1533-position model. The record is from RNAcentral.
GGAAUAUUGGACAAUGGCCGCAAGGCUGAUCCAGCCAUCCAGCGUGCCGGAAGAAGGCCCUACGGGUUGUAAACUGCUUUUCUCAGGGAAUAAACCUCUGGAUUUACCCCGGAGCUGAUGGUACCUGAAGAAUAAGCACCGGCCAACUCCGAGCCAGCAGCCGCGGUAAUACGGAGGGUGCGAGCGUUAUCCGGAAGUACUGGGUUUAAAGGGUGCGUAGGCGGUACAGUAAGUCAGGAGUGAAAGUUUGCGGCUCAACCGUAAAAUUGCUUUUGAUACUGAUGUGCUGGAAUCAGGAUGAGGUCAGCGGAAUGUGGCAUGUAGCGGUGAAAUGCAUAGAUAUGCCAUAGAACACCAAUUGCGAAGGCAGCUGGCUAGACCUGAAUUGACGCUGAGGCACGAAAGCGUGGGGAGCGAA